CAAGGCCCCCAGUCAAGAAGUCUUUGAGCCUGGAGGAGGAACUCCAAUUCCAGCUCAGAAAUAUGAGGCCUCCCUAGGAAUUGAUGCCCCCAGUCAAGAAGUGCCUGUUCAGGAGAGCUCUGAUCCCCCUGUUGAUCAACCUCCCCAGUCCCCAUCAUCACCUAAGCCCAGUGGAAAGAAGAUC
Non-coding RNA from Pocillopora verrucosa, 184 nucleotides. The record is from RefSeq and is a predicted model, not a curated record. Lineage: Eukaryota; Metazoa; Cnidaria; Anthozoa; Scleractinia; Pocilloporidae.